Molecule: long non-coding RNA, 445 nt
Organism: Lolium perenne
Lineage: Eukaryota; Viridiplantae; Streptophyta; Magnoliopsida; Poales; Poaceae
Source: RefSeq, a predicted model, not a curated record
GAGUAUGUUCUAUGUAGGUUCUUGCUUAUGAAGCAGGUCAAAAAGACAAAAUCGGAGUGAACACAAUAUCAGCAGGAACACAUGCCAGCAUGGUGCAGUACAGAAACAAAGGCAAGAUGAGGAUCUUGGCAAGAUGAUGAGAUUUCUAGUAAUUCAAUUAUCUGCCAUGCCAUAGAUCGUGGCUGCCACUCAAGGGAAAUAGGGCAAAUAUUGAUGGGAAGGAGGGAAGAUCGAGAGAACAAUGUGUUACAUGGACCGUGGCUGUCCUUCAUGAUCGCUGAUCAUGGCUGCGCCACCGGUGGUCCGGCCGUUGCCGCCGGCGGUGAUCCCACUCAGCUUCUCUGUUUCGCGGAUCCUGUUUCUCCGCUGCUGCAAAAGGAACAACUGUAGAGGACGGUUUUGUUCUGUUUCAGGAUUGAUUUGGUUGACCAAUCGAUUGAGUGCA